GCCUAACAUGUUAGCUCAGUUGGUUAGAGCAUGGUGCUUCUAAUGCCAAGGUUGCAGGCUAGAUCCCUGUACGGGACA
This is a non-coding RNA of Podarcis lilfordi (Lilford's wall lizard), 78 nucleotides long. The record is from the annotation of a GenBank genome assembly. NCBI's taxonomy places the organism in Eukaryota, Metazoa, Chordata, Lepidosauria, Squamata, Lacertidae.